AGUGAACGCUGGCGGUAGGCCUAACACGUGCAGGUCGAACGGCAGCACAGUAAGAGCUUGCUCUUACGGGUGGCGAGUGGCGGGCGGGUGAGGAAUACAUCGGAAUCUACUUUUUCGUGGGGGAUAACGUAGGGAAACUUACGCUAAUACCGCAUACGACCUACGGGUGAAAGCAGGGGAUCUUCGGACCUUGCGCGAUUGAAUGAGCCGAUGUCGGAUUAGCUAGUUGGCGGGGUAAAGGCCCACCAAGGCGACGAUCCGUAGCUGGUCUGAGAGGAUGAUCAGCCACACUGGAACUGAGACACGGUCCAGACUCCUACGGGAGGCAGCAGUGGGGAAUAUUGGACAAUGGGCGCAAGCCUGAUCCAGCCAUACCGCGUGGGUGAAGAAGGCCUUCGGGUUGUAAAGCCCUUUUGUUGGGAAAGAAAAGCAGCAGGUUAAUACCCCGCUGUUCUGACGGUACCCAAAGAAUAAGCACCGGCUAACUUCGUG
This 492-nucleotide ribosomal RNA is filed under the name uncultured bacterium. RNAcentral's name for it is "partial 16S ribosomal RNA". It matches the Rfam family "Bacterial small subunit ribosomal RNA", at positions 29 to 507 of the family's 1533-position model. The record is from RNAcentral.